RNAcentral lists this ribosomal RNA (460 nucleotides) under uncultured bacterium. RNAcentral describes it as "partial 16S ribosomal RNA". It matches the Rfam family "Bacterial small subunit ribosomal RNA", at positions 338 to 795 of the family's 1533-position model. The record is from RNAcentral.
CCUACGGGGGGCAGCAGUGAGGAAUAUUGGUCAAUGGACGAGAGUCUGAACCAGCCAAGUCGCGUGAAGGAUGACUGCCCUAAGGGUUGUAAACUUCUUUUAUCUGGGAAUAAAAUGUUCCACGUGUGGGAUUUUGUAUGUACCAUAUGAAUAAGGAUCGGCUAACUCCGUGCCAGCAGCCGCGGUAAUACGGAGGAUCCGAGCGUUAUCCGGAUUUAUUGGGUUUAAAGGGUGCGGAGGUGGAUGGUUAAGUCAGUUGUGAAAGUUGGCGGGUGAACCGUAAAAUUGCAGUUGAAACUGGCAGUCUUGAGUGCAGUAGAGGUGGGCGGAAUUCGUGGUGUAGCGGUGAAAUGCUUAGAUAUCACGAAGAACUCCGAUUGCGAAGGCAGCACACUGGACUGCAACUGACACUGAGGCACGAAAGUGUGGGUAUCGAACAGGAUUAGAUACCCGUGUAGUC